The sequence is a ribosomal RNA, 676 nucleotides long. It matches the Rfam family "Bacterial large subunit ribosomal RNA", at positions 1 to 695 of the family's 2925-position model.
AUAAUAAGCUAUUAAGGGCUAAUGGUGGAUGCCUUGACUGUAAGAGGCGAUGAAGGACGUAUUAGGCUGCGAUAAGCCUCGGGGAGCUGCCAAAGAGCUUUGAUCCGAGGAUUUCCGAAUGGGGCAACCCAGCAUGGUGAGAACUAUGUUACCCUACGGGGAGCGAACCUGGUGAAGUGAAACAUCUCAGUAGCCAGAGGAAGAGAAAUCAAAUGAGAUUCCCAUAGUAGCGGCGAGCGAACUGGGAUUAGGACAAACCCAAUGCUUGCAUUGGGGGUUGUAGGACUAUAAUGUGUAAUUAAAGAGAAUAGAUGAAAUAGUUGGAAAGCUAUAGCAUAGAAGGUGAUACUCCUGUAAUUAAAAUUCUCAAUAAUACUAAUAGUAUCCUGAGUAGGUCGGAACACGUGAUAUUUUGACUGAAGCUGGGGGGACCACCCUCCAAUCCUAAAUACUACUUACAGAUCGAUAGUGAACAAGUACCGUGAGGGAAAGGUGAAAAGUACUGCAGCGAGCAGAGUGAAAUAGAACCUGAAACCAUUAGCUUACAAUCAUUCAGAGCCCUAUGUCUUGUACAGGGUGAUGGACUGCCUUUUGCAUAAUGAGCCUGCGAGUUGUGGUGUCUGGCAAGGUUAAGCCAAGUGCGAAGCCGUAGCGAAAGCGAGUCUUAAUAGGGCGA